RNAcentral lists this ribosomal RNA (253 nucleotides) under uncultured bacterium. RNAcentral describes it as "partial 16S ribosomal RNA". It matches the Rfam family "Bacterial small subunit ribosomal RNA", at positions 524 to 776 of the family's 1533-position model. The record is from RNAcentral.
UACGUAGGGACCAAGCGCUGUUCGGAUUUACUGGGCGUAAAGGGCGCGUAGGCGGCGUGGUAAGUCACUUGUGAAAUCUCUGAGCUUAACUCAGAACGGCCAAGUGAUACUGCUGUGCUAGAGUGCAGAAGGGGCAAUCGGAAUCCUUGGUGUAGCGGUGAAAUGCGUAGAUAUCAAGAGGAACACCUGAGGUGAAGACGGGUUGCUGGGCUGACACUGACGCUGAGGCGCGAAAGCCAGGGGAGCAAACGGG